AGUGAACGCUGGCGGUAGGCCUAACACAUGCAAGUCGAACGGCAGCACAGUAAGAGCUUGCUCUUACGGGUGGCGAGUGGCGGACGGGUGAGGAAUACAUCGGAAUCUACUUUUUCGUGGGGGAUAACGUAGGGAAACUUACGCUAAUACCGCAUACGACCUACGGGUGAAAGCAGGGGAUCUUCGGACCUUGCGCGAUUGAAUGAGCCGAUGUCGGAUUAGCUAGUUGGCGGGGUAAGGCCCACCAAGGCGACGAUCCGUAGCUGGUCUGAGAGGAUGAUCAGCCACACUGGAACUGAGACACGGUCCAGACUCCUACGGGAGGCAGCAGUGGGGAAUAUUGGACAAUGGGCGCAAGCCUGAUCCAGCCAUACCGCGUGGGUGAAGAAGGCCUUCGGGUUGUAAAGCCCUUUUGUUGGGAAAGAAAAGCAGCAGGUUAAUACCCCGCUGUUCUGACGGUACCCAAAGAAUAAGCACCGGCCAACUUCGUG
This 491-nucleotide ribosomal RNA is filed under the name uncultured bacterium. RNAcentral describes it as "partial 16S ribosomal RNA". It matches the Rfam family "Bacterial small subunit ribosomal RNA", at positions 29 to 507 of the family's 1533-position model. The record is from RNAcentral.